ACGGGGUGCAGCAGGCGCGAAAACUUCACAAUGUGCGGAAGCGCGAUGAGGGAAUCCCAAGUGCUUGCACGUAAGUGUAAGCUGUUUUUAUGUUUAAAAAGCAUAGAGAGUAAGAGCUGGGUAAGACGGGUGCCAGCCGCCGCGGUAAUACCUGCAGCUCGAGUGGUGGCCGCUAUUAUUGGGCCUAAAACGUCCGUAGCCGGUUUAAUAAAUGCCCGGGUAAAUCGUGUAGCUUAACUAUACGAAUUCCGGGUAGACUGUUAAACUUGAGACCGGGAGAAGUUAGAGGUACUCCUGGGGUAGAGGUGAAAUUCUGUAAUCCUAGGGGGACCACCGGUGGCGAAGGCGUCUGACUAGAACGGGUCUGACGGUGAGGGACGAAGCCCUGGGGCGCAAACCGGAUUAGAUACCCGGGUAGUCCAGGGUGUAAACGCUGCUUGCUUGAUGCUGGUUGGGCUCCGAGCCCAAUCAGUGUCGGAGAGAAGUUGUUAAGCAAGCUACCUGGGAAGUACGGUCGCAAGGCUGAAACUUAAAGGAAUUGGCGGGGGAGCACAGCAACGGGUGGAGCGUGCGGUUUAAUUGGAUUCAACGCCGGAAAACUCACCGGAGGCGACGGUUACAUGAAGGCCAGGCUGAUGACCUUGCCAGAUUUUCCGAGAGGUGGUGCAUGGCCGCCGUCAGUUCGUACCGUAAGGCGUUCUGUUAAGUCAGACAACGAACGAGACCCUCAUCUUUAAUUGCUACUGGUAAGUCCGCUUAUCACGCACAUUAA
This 772-nucleotide ribosomal RNA is filed under the name uncultured archaeon. RNAcentral describes it as "bacterial SSU rRNA". It matches the Rfam family "Archaeal small subunit ribosomal RNA", at positions 325 to 1099 of the family's 1478-position model. The record is from RNAcentral.